ACUUUUAACGAGGGAAGGAGACCUGCUGCUGCCCAUCUAAGUACUGGUCUGGAUUCUCUUCAUUCUGAUGGCCUUCUGUCUGUUCCUCAAGGGAAUCCUCCUGAUAGCCAUCAACCUGUUGCAAGGAUAGAUGGCCAGACCUCUGUGAUACCAGGGUUGAGCAGACAAGAUUAUGACCAGUUGAUGAAUUUAUUACAUCAGACCAAGUUAGGGGACUCCACUGCUCAGACUCCUCCUCCCAUAUAUGCUGCAAACUUUGCUGGUACUAUGUUAACUGAGAGCCCUAUUUCUGAUUCCAAACUUUGCUUACUUACUAAUAUUAACUCUGU
RNAcentral lists this long non-coding RNA (329 nucleotides) under Nicotiana benthamiana. RNAcentral describes it as "long non-coding RNA (NBEN_LNC015602)". The record is from RNAcentral. Lineage: Eukaryota; Viridiplantae; Streptophyta; Magnoliopsida; Solanales; Solanaceae.